This 448-nucleotide ribosomal RNA is filed under the name uncultured bacterium. RNAcentral's name for it is "bacterial SSU rRNA". It matches the Rfam family "Bacterial small subunit ribosomal RNA", at positions 329 to 794 of the family's 1533-position model. The record is from RNAcentral.
GUCCAGACUCCUACGGGAGGCAGCAGUGGGGAAUAUUGCACAAUGGGGGAAACCCUGAUGCAGCGACGCCGCGUGAGUGAAGAAGUAUUUCGGUAUGUAAAGCUCUCUCAGCAGGGAAGAAAAUGACAGUACCUGACUAAGAAGCCCCGGCUAACUACGUGCCAGCAGCCGCGGUAAUACGUAGGGGGCAAGCGUUAUCCGGAUUUACUGGGUGUAAAGGGAGCGUAGACGGCAUGGCAAGUCGGAUGUGAAAGCCCGGGGCUCAACCCCGGGACUGCAUUUGAAACUGUCAGGCUGGAGUGCAGGAGAGGUAAGUGGAAUUCCUAGUGUAGCGGUGAAAUGCGUAGAUAUUAGGAGGAACACCAGUGGCGAAGGCGGCUUACUGGACUGUAACUGACGUUGAGGCUCGAAAGCGUGGGGAGCAAACAGGAUUAGAUACCCUCGUAAC